This 90-nucleotide transfer RNA is filed under the name Silvanigrellaceae bacterium. RNAcentral describes it as "tRNA-Ser". It matches the Rfam family "tRNA". Rfam says of the family: Transfer RNA (tRNA) molecules are approximately 80 nucleotides in length. Their secondary structure includes four short double-helical elements and three loops (D, anti-codon, and T loops). Lineage: Bacteria; Pseudomonadati; Bdellovibrionota; Oligoflexia; Silvanigrellales; Silvanigrellaceae. The record is from RNAcentral.
GGAGAGAUGGCCGAGUGGCUUAAGGCGGCGGUCUUGAAAACCGUUGUGGGCGCAAGCUUACCGGGGGUUCGAAUCCCUCUCUCUCCGCCA